CUUUUAUGGAGAGUUUGAUCCUGGCUCAGAGUGAACGCUGGCGGCGUGCCUAAUACAUGCAAGUCGAACGAUGAAGCUUCUAGCUUGCUAGAAGUGGAUUAGUGGCGCACGGGUGAGUAACGCAUAGGUCAUGUGCCUCUUAGUUUGGGAUAGCCAUUGGAAACGAUGAUUAAUACCAGAUACUCCCUACGGGGGAAAGAUUUAUCGCUAAGAGAUCAGCCUAUGUCCUAUCAGCUUGUUGGUAAGGUAAUGGCUUACCAAGGCUAUGACGGGUAUCCGGCCUGAGAGGGUGAACGGACACACUGGAACUGAGACACGGUCCAGACUCCUACGGGAGGCAGCAGUAGGGAAUAUUGCUCAAUGGGGGAAACCCUGAAGCAGCAACGCCGCGUGGAGGAUGAAGGUUUUAGGAUUGUAAACUCCUUUUGUUAGAGAAGAUAAUGACGGUAUCUAACGAAUAAGCACCGGCUAACUCCGUGCCAGCAGCCGCGGUAAUACGGAGAGUGCAAGCGUUACUCGGAAUCACUGGGCGUAAAGAGCGCGUAGGCGGGAUAGUCAGUCAGGUGUGAAAUCCUAUGGCUUAACCAUAGAACUGCAUUUGAAACUACUAUUCUAGAGUGUGGGAGAGGUAGGUGGAAUUCUUGGUGUAGGGGUAAAAUCCGUAGAGAUCAAGAGGAAUACUCAUUGCGAAGGCGACCUGCUGGAACAUUACUGACGCUGAUUGCGCGAAAGCGUGGGGAGCAAACAGGAUUAGAUACCCUGGUAGUCCACGCCCUAAACGAUGGAUGCUAGUUGUUGGAGGGCUUAGUCUCUCCAGUAAUGCAGCUAACGCAUUAAGCAUCCCGCCUGGGGAGUACGGUCGCAAGAUUAAAACUCAAAGGAAUAGACGGGGACCCGCACAAGCGGUGGAGCAUGUGGUUUAAUUCGAAGAUACACGAAGAACCUUACCUAGGCUUGACAUUGAGAGAAUCCGCUAGAAAUAGUGGAGUGUCUAGCUUGCUAGACCUUGAAAACAGGUGCUGCACGGCUGUCGUCAGCUCGUGUCGUGAGAUGUUGGGUUAAGUCCCGCAACGAGCGCAACCCCCUUUCUUAGUUGCUAACAGGUCAUGCUGAGAACUCUAAGGAUACUGCCUCCGUAAGGAGGAGGAAGGUGGGGACGACGUCAAGUCAUCAUGGCCCUUACGCCUAGGGCUACACACGUGCUACAAUGGGGUGCACAAAGAGAAGCAAUACUGCGAAGUGGAGCCAAUCUUCAAAACGCCUCUCAGUUCGGAUUGUAGGCUGCAACUCGCCUGCAUGAAGCUGGAAUCGCUAGUAAUCGCAAAUCAGCCAUGUUGCGGUGAAUACGUUCCCGGGUCUUGUACUCACCGCCCGUCACACCAUGGGAGUUGUGUUUGCCUUAAGUCAGGAUGCUAAAUUAGCUACUGCCCACGGCACACACAGCGACUGGGGUGAAGUCGUAACAAGGUAACCGUAGGUGAACCUGCGGUUGGAUCACCUCCUUUCU
This 1507-nucleotide ribosomal RNA is filed under the name Helicobacter pylori 908. RNAcentral describes it as "16S ribosomal RNA". It matches the Rfam family "Bacterial small subunit ribosomal RNA". The record is from RNAcentral. Lineage: Bacteria; Pseudomonadati; Campylobacterota; Epsilonproteobacteria; Campylobacterales; Helicobacteraceae.